UAGAUUAUAAUUCUUAGGAGAACUGUAGCGAAGAUUAUCUGCAAACCGUGUCAAACGUUUAAAUUAAUUUCAAAGUAACAUUAAUUUUCUUCCAUUUCUUUUUGUUACCAUUAUCUAUUACUUUUGAGAGAUAAACUGUUUAUCAAUCAGGCCAUAUGUUUUGAUACACAUUGUCUCUUUUUCUUCAGACGAGAAUCAAGUAAUCGUUGAUGGGUAGAGGUCACUGCUAUCGUAUGCCGAUUACCACAGUCUGGUUAUAUUGGUUUUAAUUAUUGCUAUACAACACACUUAACAUAGAACCCAAAAUUUGAAAUUAUUCAACAAUAUUAACAAGGGCAAAUGCGUAUGAUUAAAAAUAUGGGAGUGAUUGAGAAAACAAUGAUGUAUUGAAAUUUAACAACUAUGGGAAUACAUAACAAGCGCAUAGCAAACUUCAUUAGAUUACUAAUAUAUACGGUACUCCCUUUCUUCCACACCAGCCAGCCCAUAGAAUUUGAAUUAAAAGAAUGCGUAAAUCGAACCCUUUUCCUCUUAAGCGUAUCCAAAAUGCUGCCGCUCGUCCGGUUACCCGCUCAAGACCUUAUGAACAUAUUACUCCAAUCCUCCGCAAUCUCCACUGGCUGCCAGUUAUUCAACGUAUCCAAUUAAAAAUUCUUCUCCUUGCCUUCAAAAUCCGUAACGGUGAAUGCCCCACGUACCUUUCUAGUCUCGUAAAAUCCAAACUCCACUCCUCCAGGUUGCGUGCUUCAACUUCCUCUCACUUUCAACUCAGUAAUUCCUGGCCCUCGUGCGAAAACAAGAUACGGUGAUAGAGCACUUUCUGUAGCCCCCCCCCCCCCCCAGUUGUGGAAUAGCCUCCCGUCCUACAUCCAAAAUGCUCCUUCUAUAUCCACUUUCAAAGUAAUGUCAAAAACCCAUCUGUUCAAAUCCAUUUCAUGAAUGUUGUCUUCUUUAAACAUGUCAAAUAAAUAAAUGAUGUCGUACUACUAUUUGUUAUGAAAUAAGUCGACUUUAGCACAAUUUAAGUUAGAUUAAGUUGAUUUAUUAUUUAUCUGUAACAAACUGUAAUUUUGUAGCGUAACAUAGCGUAACAUACUGUAAUUUUGUACUGAAUAAUAUUGUGUAAUCGUGGUGCUGUCGUCUCGGAUUUUAUUUCGUGUAAGGACAUUGCUGCUGGGACAAAAGCACCACAGCGCCUAGAAACAAUGUAUUGGGCGCGUUAUUAAUGUGAUCUAUUAUUAUUAUUAUUAUAAACAAAUAAAAAAGUAGAUACCUUACUAAAAUUCAAAAGUAAUUACCUGACAAUCCUAUUUACAUAUUAAGUAGCUUUGUUGAAUUCGAUACUUUAUUGCUCAUUAUACAGAAUUUAUUACGUGUGUAAUUAUUUGAAAGGUAUGAUCAUUGAACCUAGUACCCACUGACAAAAAUUGAAUCAAAUUAUAUACAUUUUGUAUCUUGAAUAUAUAUAUAUAUAUAUAUAUCGUAUCAUGGAAAAUGAAAAAUUCAGCGUGUACGUGUAGAUAUACCGAAACAAACGAUGUCCGUAUGUUCAUGAAGCUUCGUAUAUGUUCAUUUUUUAGUUUAUGUGUUUGAAUCGUCAAAAUGUACCUGCGAGUCUUCAGAAUUCUGUCCUAUAGGCUUUUACGAAUCAGUCGGGUCACGGCGCCUGGAAUCGGGAAACAAAUCCCAUGAGGACCACAUUUGCCCCUGAUUCAACAUACUUGAAGACACCGUACAAAAGAUUGUGGUAUUUUCAGCCAGGACGCUGCCCCGCGAUCCGGCUGUUUAGCAAUAGCCUUGUAGGCAUGUACAAUUAAAACAUUAUGAACUGAAAGAAAUCGAAUCAACUGAAUUCAAUUAAUAUCCGGUGGCUCUAAUGGUGAAUAUUUGAAAGAUACUUUAAUGUUAUGUCAUUGUUUAUCUUGAAUCUAAUAAAAUGUAGUUUUAAAAUGUA
Long non-coding RNA from Strongylocentrotus purpuratus (purple sea urchin), 1954 nucleotides. RefSeq lists it as uncharacterized. The transcript is spliced from 2 exons. Lineage: Eukaryota; Metazoa; Echinodermata; Echinoidea; Camarodonta; Strongylocentrotidae. The record is from RefSeq and is a predicted model, not a curated record.